RNAcentral lists this ribosomal RNA (346 nucleotides) under uncultured bacterium. RNAcentral describes it as "bacterial SSU rRNA". It matches the Rfam family "Bacterial small subunit ribosomal RNA", at positions 8 to 352 of the family's 1533-position model. The record is from RNAcentral.
AGAGUUUGAUCAUGGCUCAGGACGAACGCUGGCGGCAUGGAUUAGGCAUGCAAGUCGAACGAAAAGCAGGAGCUUGCUCCUGUGGACGAGUGGCGAAAGGGUGAGUAACGCGUGAGUAACCUGCCCUCAAGUUGGGGAUAACCUUUGGAAACGAAGGCUAAUACCGAAUGUGAAUAGUUUUCCGCAUGGAAUUCUAUUUAAAAAUUUAUUGCUUGAGGUUGGGCUCGCGUACCAUUAGCUAGUUGGUGUGGUAACGGCAUACCAAGGCGACGAUGGUUAGGUGGAUUGAGAGAUCGGUCACCCACACUGGGACUGAGACACUGCCCAGACUCCUACGGGAGGCAGC